Molecule: ribosomal RNA, 253 nt
Filed under: uncultured bacterium
Lineage: Bacteria
Description: partial 16S ribosomal RNA
Rfam family: Bacterial small subunit ribosomal RNA
Source: RNAcentral
UACAGAGGGGGCAAGCGUUAUUCGGAAUUAUUGGGCGUAAAGGGCGCGUAGGCGGCCUGACAAGUGGAAGGUGAAAUCCCUCGGCUUAACCGAGGAACUGCCCUCCAAACUGCUUGGCUUGAGUCCGGGAGAGGUGAGUGGAACUGCGAGUGUAGAGGUGAAAUUCGUAGAUAUUCGCAAGAACACCAGUGGCGAAGGCGGCUCACUGGCCCGGUACUGACGCUGAGGUGCGAAAGCGUGGGGAGCAAACAGG